UUUUCUAUAUUGAUAAAAUAUUUUCUGCAUAAGGUGAAGUUGGUCGUCAAGUCUCACUUUCAUGUGUGGUUGAUACUGGACUAACUCGUUUGGCCACUAGGAACAUUGCUUUACCUACCAGUACCCUUUUAAGGAGCAUGCUAUAAAAAACUCAGAGGAAAAUCUUCAGAAGUUGACACAACUUUUAACUCAUCUUGGAUAUCAACAGGAAUCUAUUCAACGCUCUGCCAAUGCCCUUGAAAAUGUGAAAGAACAGUUGCCUCCACAUGA
Molecule: unclassified non-coding RNA, 270 nt
Filed under: Homarus americanus (American lobster)
Lineage: Eukaryota; Metazoa; Arthropoda; Malacostraca; Decapoda; Nephropidae
Description: vacuolar protein-sorting-associated protein 36-like, transcript variant X2
Source: RNAcentral